AGAGUUUGAUCCUGGCUCAGAUUGAACGCUGGCGGUAUGCUUAACACAUGCAAGUCGAACGGAAACGAAACUAGCUUGCUAGUAGGCGUCGAGUGGCGGACGGGUGAGUAACGCGUAGGAAUCUGCCUGAUAGUGGGGGAUAGCCCGAAGAAAUUCGGAUUAAUACCGCAUAAUCUAUUCGUAGUAAAGUGGGGGACUUUCGAGCCUCACGCUAUCAGAUGAGCCUGCGUAGGAUUAGCUUGUUGGUAGGGUAAAAGCCUACCAAGGCAACGAUCUUUAGCUGGUCUGAGAGGAUGAUCAGCCACAUCGGGACUGAGACACGGCCCGAACUCCUACGGGAGGCAGCAGUGGGGAAUAUUGGACAAUGGGGGCAACCCUGAUCCAGCAAUACCGCGUGUGUGAAGAAGGCCUGAGGGUUGUAAAGCACUUUCAAUUGUGAAGAAAAGUUAACGGUUAAUAACCGUUGACCUUGACGUUAACUUUAGAAGAAGCACCGGCUAACUCCGUGCCAGCAGCCGCGGUAAUACGGAGGGUGCAAGCGUUAAUCGGAAUUACUGGGCGUAAAGCGUGCGUAGGCGGUUUAUUAAGUCAGAUGUGAAAGCCCCGGGCUUAACCUGGGAACUGCAUUUGAAACUGGUCAACUAGAGUAUGGUAGAGGAAAGUGGAAUUUCUGGUGUAGCGGUGAAAUGCGUAGAUAUCAGAAGGAACAUCAAUGGCGAAGGCAGCUUUCUGGACCAAUACUGACGCUGAGGUACGAAAGCGUGGGUAGCAAACAGGAUUAGAUACCCUGGUAGUCCACGCCGUAAACGAUGAUAACUAGCCGUUGGGGGGAUUUACCCCUUAGUGGCGAAGCUAACGCGUUAAGUUAUCCGCCUGGGGAGUACGGCCGCAAGGCUAAAACUCAAAGGAAUUGACGGGGACCCGCACAAGCGGUGGAGCAUGUGGUUUAAUUCGAUGCAACGCGAAGAACCUUACCUGGUCUUGACAUCCUGCGAACUUUCUAGAAAUAGAUUGGUGCCUUCGGGAACGUAGUGACAGGUGCUGCAUGGCUGUCGUCAGCUCGUGUCGUGAGAUGUUGGGUUAAGUCCCGUAACGAGCGCAACCCCUAUCCUUAUUUGCCAGCACAUUAUGGUGGGAACUAUAAAGAGACUGCCGGUGAUAAACCGGAGGAAGGCGGGGACGACGUCAAGUCAUCAUGGCCCUUACGACCAGGGCUACACACGUGCUACAAUGGGAAGGACAAAGAGCCGCGAAGCCGCGAGGUGUAGCUAAUCUCAUAAAUCUUUUCGUAGUCCGGAUUGGAGUCUGCAACUCGACUCCAUGAAGUCGGAAUCGCUAGUAAUCGUAGAUCAGAAUGCUACGGUGAAUACGUUCCCGGGUCUUGUACACACCGCCCGUCAUACCAUGGGAGUGGGUUGCACCAGAAGUGGCUAGUCUAACUUUGUGAGGACGGUCACCACGGUGUGAUUCAUGACUGGGGUAAAGUCGUAACAAGGUAACC
RNAcentral lists this ribosomal RNA (1501 nucleotides) under uncultured bacterium. Its description in RNAcentral is "bacterial SSU rRNA". It matches the Rfam family "Bacterial small subunit ribosomal RNA". The record is from RNAcentral.